Molecule: ribosomal RNA, 253 nt
Filed under: uncultured bacterium
Lineage: Bacteria
Description: partial 16S ribosomal RNA
Rfam family: Bacterial small subunit ribosomal RNA
Source: RNAcentral
UACGAAGGGGGCUAGCGUUGCUCGGAAUUACUGGGCGUAAAGGGCGCGUAGGCGGGUCGUUAAGUUAGAGGUGAAAGCCCAGGGCUCAACCCUGGAAUUGCCUUUGAUACUGGCGGCCUUGAGUAUGGCAGAGGUGUGUGGAACUCCGAGUGUAGAGGUGAAAUUCGUAGAUAUUCGGAAGAACACCAGUGGCGAAGGCGACACACUGGGCCAUUACUGACGCUGAGGCGCGAAAGCGUGGGGAGCAAACAGG